GAAAUAAUUUAAUAAAAGAAUAAGCUUCUAACUUAAUUCUUAAGCGUUGUAAAACGUUUUUAUUUCU
RNAcentral lists this transfer RNA (67 nucleotides) under Longitarsus ballotae. Its description in RNAcentral is "tRNA-Ser". Lineage: Eukaryota; Metazoa; Arthropoda; Insecta; Coleoptera; Chrysomelidae. The record is from RNAcentral.